Molecule: ribosomal RNA, 1015 nt
Filed under: uncultured organism
Description: bacterial SSU rRNA
Rfam family: Bacterial small subunit ribosomal RNA
Source: RNAcentral
UACCAUUAGCUAGUUGGUGAGGUAACGGCUCACCAAGGUUACGAUGGUUAGGGGGUCUUAAAGGAUGAUCCCCCACACUGGUACUGAGACACGGACCAGACUCCUACGGGAGGCAGCAGUGAGGAAUAUUGGGCAAUGGACGCAAGUCUGACCCAGCCAUGCCGCGUGCAGGAUGACUGCUCUAGUAGUUGUAAACUGCUUUUCUAUUUCAUGAACCCCUCUGACGUGUCAGGGGCUGACAGUAGAAUAGGAAUAAGCAUCGGCUAACUCCGCGCCAGCAGCCGCGGUAAUACGGAGGAUGCAAGCGUUAUCCGGAUUUACUAGGUUUAAAGGGUGCGUAGGCGGGGUAUCAAGUCAGUGGUGAAAUCCUGCAGCUCAACUGUAGAACUGCCAUUGAAACUGAUAUUCUUGAGUAUAGUUGAGGUAGGCGGAAUGUGUUAAGUAGCGGUGAAAUGCAUAGAGAUAACACAGAACACCGAUUGCGAAGGCAGCUUACUAAACUAUUACUGACGCUGAGGUACGAAAGCGUGGGGAGCGAACAGGAUUAGAUACCCUGGUAGUCCACGCCGUAAACGUUGAUCACUAGUUGUUUGCGAUACAUUGUGAGCGACUGAACAAAAGCAUUAAGUGAUCCACCUGGGGAGUACGUUGGCAACGAUGAAACUCCAAGGAAUUGACGGGGGCCCGCACAAGCGGAGGAACAUGUGGUUUAAUUCGAUGAUACGCGAGGAACCUUACCUGGGCUUAAAUGUAAGACGACUAACAGGGAAACUUGUUAUCUUUCGAGCGUCCUACAAGGUGCUGCAUGGUUGUCGUCAGCUCGUGCCGUGAGGUGUCGGGUUAAGUCCCAUAACGAGCGCAACCCUUAUCGUUAGUUGCCAGCGGGUAAUGCCGGGGACUCUAGCGAAACUGCCAUCGUCACACUUGUGAGGAAGGUGGGGAUGACGUCAAAUCAGCACGGCCCUUAUGUCCAGGGCUACACACGUGUUACAAUGGUCGAAACAAAGGGCAGCUA